Molecule: ribosomal RNA, 478 nt
Filed under: Enterococcus faecium
Lineage: Bacteria; Bacillati; Bacillota; Bacilli; Lactobacillales; Enterococcaceae
Description: bacterial SSU rRNA
Rfam family: Bacterial small subunit ribosomal RNA
Source: RNAcentral
UUUUAUGAGAGUUUGAUCCUGGCUCAGGACGAACGCUGGCGGCGUGCCUAAUACAUGCAAGUCGAACGCUUCUUUUUCCACCGGAGCUUGCUCCACCGGAAAAAGAGGAGUGGCGAACGGGUGAGUAACACGUGGGUAACCUGCCCAUCAGAAGGGGAUAACACUUGGAAACAGGUGCUAAUACCGUAUAACAAUCGAAACCGCAUGGUUUUGAUUUGAAAGGCGCUUUCGGGUGUCGCUGAUGGAUGGACCCGCGGUGCAUUAGCUAGUUGGUGAGGUAACGGCUCACCAAGGCCACGAUGCAUAGCCGACCUGAGAGGGUGAUCGGCCACAUUGGGACUGAGACACGGCCCAAACUCCUACGGGAGGCAGCAGUAGGGAAUCUUCGGCAAUGGACGAAAGUCUGACCGAGCAACGCCGCGUGAGUGAAGAAGGUUUUCGGAUCGUAAAACUCUGUUGUUAGAGAAGAACAAGGAUG